Molecule: ribosomal RNA, 450 nt
Filed under: uncultured bacterium
Lineage: Bacteria
Description: bacterial SSU rRNA
Rfam family: Bacterial small subunit ribosomal RNA
Source: RNAcentral
CUACCAGACUCCUACGGGAGGCAGCAGUGGGGAAUAUUGGGCAAUGGAGGAAACUCUUACCCAGCAAUGCCGCGUGAAUGAAGAAGGUCUUCGGAUUGUAAAGUUCUUUAAUUGGGGACGAAGAAAAUGACGGUACCCAAGGAAUAAGCCCCGGCUAACUACGUGCCAGCAGCCGCGGUAAUACGUAGGGGGCAAGCGUUAUCCGGAUUUACUGGGUGUAAAGGGGGCGCAGACGGCAGCGCAAGCCAGGAGUGAAAGCCCGGGGCCCAACCCCGGGACUGCCCUUGGAACUGCAUGGCUGGAGUGCGGGAGGGGCAGGCGGAAUUCCUGGUGUAGCGGUGAAAUGCGUAGAUAUCAGGAGGAACACCGGCGGCGAAGGCGGCCUGCUGGACCGCGACUGACGUUGAGGCUCGAAAGCGUGGGGAGCGAACAGGAUUAGAUACCCCUGUA